This 440-nucleotide ribosomal RNA is filed under the name uncultured bacterium. RNAcentral describes it as "partial 16S ribosomal RNA". It matches the Rfam family "Bacterial small subunit ribosomal RNA", at positions 338 to 795 of the family's 1533-position model. The record is from RNAcentral.
CCUACGGGAGGCAGCAGGGGGGAAUAUUGCACAAUGGGGGAAACCCUGAUGCAGCGACGCCGCGGGAAGGAAGAAGAAGUUCGGUAGGUAAACUUCUAGCAGCAGGGAAGAAAAGGACGGUACCUGACUAAGAAGCCCCGGCUAACUACGUGCCAGCAGCCGCGGUAAUACGUAGGGGGCAAGCGUUCUCCGGAUUUACUGGGUGUAAAGGGAGCGUAGGCGGUUUAGCAAGUCAGAAGUGAAAGCCCGGGGCUCAACUCCGGGACUGCUUUUUAAACUGGUGAACUAGAUUGCAGGAGAGGUCAUUGGAAUUCCUCUUGUAGCGGUGCAAUGCGUUGAUCUUAGGAGGAACCCCCGUGGCGACGGCGGCUUACUGGACUGUAAAUGACGCUGAGGCUCGACCGCGUGGGGAGCACACAGGAUUAGCUACCCCUGUAGUC